GACGAACGCUGGCGGCGUGCCUAAUACAUGCAAGUUGAGCGCUGAAGGUUGGUACUUGUACCGACUGGAUGAGCAGCGAACGGGUGAGUAACGCGUGGGGAAUCUGCCUUUGAGCGGGGGACAACGUUUGGAAACGAAUGCUAAUACCGCAUAAAAACUUUAAACACAAGUUUUAAGUUUGAAAGAUGCAAUUGCAUCACUCAAAGAUGAUCCCGCGUUGUAUUAGCUAGUUGGUGAGGUAAAGGCUCACCAAGGCGAUGAUACAUAGCCGACCGGGGGGGGUGAUCGGACACAUGGGGACUGAGAAACGGCCCAAACUCCUACGGGAGGCAGCAGUAGGGAAUCUUCGGCAAUGGACGAAGGUCUGACCGAGCAACGCCGCGUGAGUGAAGAAGGUUUUCGGAUCGUAAAACUCUGUUGGUAGAGAAGAACGUUGGUGAGAGUGGAAAGCUCAUCAAGUGACGGUAACUACCCAGAAAGGGACGGCUAACUACGUGCCAGCCGCCGCGGUAA
RNAcentral lists this ribosomal RNA (513 nucleotides) under uncultured bacterium. RNAcentral describes it as "partial 16S ribosomal RNA". It matches the Rfam family "Bacterial small subunit ribosomal RNA", at positions 28 to 523 of the family's 1533-position model. The record is from RNAcentral.